UGGGGAAUUUUGGACAAUGGGCGAAAGCCUGAUCCAGCAAUGCCGCGUGUGUGAAGAAGGCCUUCGGGUUGUAAAGCACUUUUGUCCGGAAAGAAAUCCUUGGCUCUAAUACAGUCGGGGGAUGACGGUACCGGAAGAAUAAGCACCGGCUAACUACGUGCCAGCAGCCGCGGUAAUACGUAGGGUGCAAGCGUUAAUCGGAAUUACUGGGCGUAAAGCGUGCGCAGGCGGUUUGCUAAGACCGAUGUGAAAUCCCCGGGCUCAACCUGGGAACUGCAUUGGUGACUGGCAGGCUAGAGUAUGGCAGAGGGGGGUAGAAUUCCACGUGUAGCAGUGAAAUGCGUAGAGAUGUGGAGGAAUACCGAUGGCGAAGGCAGCCCCCUGGGCCAAUACUGACGCUCAUGCACGAAAGCGUGGGGAGC
RNAcentral lists this ribosomal RNA (422 nucleotides) under uncultured bacterium. Its description in RNAcentral is "partial 16S ribosomal RNA". It matches the Rfam family "Bacterial small subunit ribosomal RNA", at positions 355 to 769 of the family's 1533-position model. The record is from RNAcentral.